Long non-coding RNA from Sphaeramia orbicularis (orbiculate cardinalfish), 267 nucleotides. RefSeq lists it as uncharacterized. NCBI's taxonomy places the organism in Eukaryota, Metazoa, Chordata, Actinopteri, Kurtiformes, Apogonidae. The record is from RefSeq and is a predicted model, not a curated record. The transcript has 2 exons.
GUUUCACAAAGGAAGGUAACUCAAACCAGAGACAGAGGGGUAACUCUAGCCUGUUUCACAGACAGAGGUAACUUACAGCUCUCGGUCAAUCACCAUAGUAACAGACUCUAUGAACCUAACCUGGUCAGGACCAGGUUUUUCUCAAAGAAACCCUGAGUUUCUCUCUGACUUCACCCGCUUUCAGCCACACACGGAAUUUGAUUUCCUCAUUCAUUCAGUCAGCAGGAGAGUUUUGGCGAAACAUAGUUCUGCCAUCUGUCAUUUAAA